This is a long non-coding RNA of Manis pentadactyla (Chinese pangolin), 1826 nucleotides long. RefSeq lists it as uncharacterized. NCBI's taxonomy places the organism in Eukaryota, Metazoa, Chordata, Mammalia, Pholidota, Manidae. The record is from RefSeq and is a predicted model, not a curated record. The transcript is spliced from 3 exons.
UGAAAGUCAGAGUCAAGAUGGGAAUCUUGUGUCAUCUCCGAGUCUGGCUAUCCCUGUGAGCUAAAUAAACUCAGUGGUCUCAAUUCAACAGACAUUCAUUGGGCCUCAACUGUGUGCCAGGCCCUACUCUGGGCUCUGAGGUGACAGAGGCCAAAAAGACAGUCAUUGCUCUGUAGGAGUUACAAUCUUGGGGGUGGGGGGAAAGGUUUGGUGGCAGAGGGGUGGAGGAAUAGGCUGGGAGGCAGCCUUUUAUUUGGAGUGCUGCAGGUCUCAGUGAGAUAGAUGUAAGCAAACCUCACACCUCUGGAAAAUUUGAAGUUGGCCACUUUAGUUAGCUGGUCAUUUCACAAACUCUAAUAAGUGCUUCAUUCUGCAUUAGAAACACAGGAGAAAUCAGAUGCCUGUUAGAUGGACUAAGUAAUUGAGGAAUAAUAGCAAUUAUUCCAUGAACUGUCUAUAAAGAACAAGGCUGGUAAACCCAGAAGAUCCAUAAACACAAACAGGAGAAUCCUAGAGAGUUUUUUAAAGAGAUUUUACCAGGAUUAACAUGAAAUUAAAUCUAAGCCAAAGAUUUUGGGGUUUUUUGUUCUUCUGUUCUCUUAACCUACCCCACCCCCUUCCCUUUUGGCGUGUUAUCUCUUUGCUCUACCCUGAGAGCCUCACCUCGGCCCACUUCUUUCUCUCUCAAGGAAGGGUGGGGUUUCAGCUAACUCCUGCCAAUUUGAUGGAGAGUUUUAGGGUAUAGUCACAAUCCAAAAGAGCCCUCGUGGGGUGUGGUCAGGCCUAUGGAGAGGGGUACUGGGUUUGAGAACCAUCAGAGGUUGGUUUCUCACUGGAGGCUGUGAUAGGGAUAGCUGAGGGGGCCUGGGCAAAUGAUAGUAAAUAGUCAUAAUAGUUUCUAAUAAAGCCACCUUAGAACAGGUCUCCCCCAGCAGCCCUUGUUAAAAGAGGCAUUUAAUCACAGUAUCACACUAUAUGCUGAUUCUCUGCAAUGGCCCUAUGACUUUUUGAUAUUUUGUUAUUUACUGUCUAUCUCCCAUUCUUCUGACAUGCGAACUUCAUAAGAGCAAAGACUUUGGCUGUCUUGUUCACUGUUGAAUCUCCAGUGCGUACCUCAGUGUCUGGCACACAGUAGUUGCUCAGUACACUGCAUGUAUCAGGCUCUGUGCUAAGCCUUGACAUGUCUCAUUGAAUCCUUACACCAACCCUGUGAGAUAGGCACUUUUAUUACCCUUAUUUUAGAGGUGAGGAAACUGAAGUCAUUAAGUAAGUUACUCAAGCUGCAGAGCCCAGAAGUGGUAGAGCUAGAGCUGGGAUUUGACCUGGAGCAGAGCCUGGCUUCCCAGCCACUUCACGGAGCUUACUGGUGGCAAGAGGGCCAUUUGUGCCAGCUGUAACUGCAAAGCUUACUGUAGCCCAAAGGAUGGCACACUUGUCUGUGUACCUGUCUGCCUGUCUCCUGGAAGGCUGUGGAGUUUCUGUCAGCUGUGUUGCAACUGAAAGGAUUAUGGCUGCCCAUGAGCCACUGUUCCAAAAGGAUAUGGCACUCUUGGCAUGGUGGAGAGAAGCAAAGUUAGGACCACUGAGGUAAGAACCAGCCAGAGCAGGAGACAGCCAGAGAAAGGAGUGGCAGGAAGAAUGCAGCCUUAGUCCUGGAGGGAGAGGGCCCACUGGGAAGAACAGAACCCAGCUGGCUCAGUCCCGGAGGCCCACUCUUUCCAGGGACCUGGCCUCGGGCCCUAGCAGCCCACCUGCUAUUGUGGGCCAUCACCAGCCUGCAUCUUAAAAGGACCAUUAAAUAGGAUACUGCCCACUUCCAAAUAAAA